GACGAACGCUGGCGGCGUGCCUAAUACAUGCAAGUAGAACGCUGAAGAGAGGAGCUUGCUCUUCUUGGAUGAGUUGCGAACGGGUGAGUAACGCGUAGGUAACCUGCCUGGUAGCGGGGGAUAACUAUUGGAAACGAUAGCUAAUACCGCAUAAAAUUGAUUAUUGCAUGAUAAUUAAUUGAAAGAUGCAACUGCAUCACUACCAGAUGGACCUGCGUUGUAUUAGCUAGUUGGUGAGGUAACGGCUCACCAAGGCGACGAUACAUAGCCGACCUGAGAGGGUGAUCGGCCACACUGGGACUGAGACACGGCCCAGACUCCUACGGGAGGCAGCAGUAGGGAAUCUUCGGCAAUGGGGGGAACCCUGACCGAGCAACGCCGCGUGAGUGAAGAAGGUUUUCGGAUCGUAAAGCUCUGUUGUAAGAGAAGAACGGGUGUGAGAGUGGAAAGUUCACACUGUGACGGUAUCUUACCAGAAAGGGACGGCUAACUACGUGCCAGCAGCCGCGGUAAUACGUAGGUCCCGAGCGUUGUCCGGAUUUAUUGGGCGUAAAGCGAGCGCAGGCGGUUAGAUAAGUCUGAAGUUAAAGGCUGUGGCUUAACCAUAGUAUGCUUUGGAAACUGUUUAACUUGAAUGCCAAAAGGGAGAGUGGAAUUCCGUGUGUAGCGGUGAAAUGCGUAAAUAUAGGGAGAAACCCCGGGGGCGAAAGCGGCUCUCUGGUCUGUACCGGACCCUGAGGCUCCAAAGCGGGGGGGAGCAAAAAGGAUUAGAUCCCCUGGUAGUCCACGCCGUAAACGAUGAGUGCUAGGUGUUAGGCCCUUUCCGGGGCUUAGUGCCGCAGCUAACGCAUUAAGCACUCCGCCUGGGGAGUACGACCGCAAGGUUGAAACUCAAAGGAAUUGACGGGGGCCCGCACAAGCGGUGGAGCAUGUGGUUUAAUUCGAAGCAACGCGAAGAACCUUACCAGGUCUUGACAUCCCUCUGACCGCUCUAGAGAUAGAGUUUUCCUUCGGGACAGAGGUGACAGGUGGUGCAUGGUUGUCGUCAGCUCGUGUCGUGAGAUGUUGGGUUAAGUCCCGCAACGAGCGCAACCCCUAUUGUUAGUUGCCAUCAUUGAGUUGGGCACUCUAGCGAGACUGCCGGUAAUAAACCGGAGGAAGGUGGGGAUGACGUCAAAUCAUCAUGCCCCUUAUGGCCUGGGCUACACACGUGCUACAAUGGCUGGUACAACGAGUCGCAAGCCGGUGACGGCAAGCUAAUCUCUGAAAGCCAGUCUCAGUUCGGAUUGUAGGCUGCAACUCGCCUACAUGAAGUCGGAAUCGCUAGUAAUCGCGGAUCAGCACGCCGCGGUGAAUACGUUCCCGGGCCU
RNAcentral lists this ribosomal RNA (1370 nucleotides) under uncultured bacterium. Its description in RNAcentral is "bacterial SSU rRNA". It matches the Rfam family "Bacterial small subunit ribosomal RNA", at positions 28 to 1381 of the family's 1533-position model. The record is from RNAcentral.